This 401-nucleotide ribosomal RNA is filed under the name uncultured fungus. RNAcentral's name for it is "partial small subunit ribosomal RNA". It matches the Rfam family "Eukaryotic small subunit ribosomal RNA", at positions 30 to 432 of the family's 1831-position model. Lineage: Eukaryota; Fungi. The record is from RNAcentral.
GCUUGUCUCAAAGAUUAAGCCAUGCAUGUCUAAGUAUAAACAACUUUAUACUGUGAAACUGCGUACAGCUCAUUAUAUCAGUUAUAAUUUAUUUGAUGGUGAUUUACUACAUGGAUAACCGUGGUAAUUCUAGAGCUAAUACAUGCGUAAGAUCCUGACUAACGAAGGGACGUAUUUAUUAGAUACAACCGACCUCCUUCUGGAGCCUUUUGUCGACUCAUAGUAACUUUGGGCUGAUCGUAUGGCCUUGUGCCGACGACGUUUCCUUCGAAGGUGUGCCCUAUCAACUGUCGACUGUGAUAUAGACGCUCACAGUGGUUUUGACGGGUAACGGGGAAUCAGGGUUCGAUUCCGGAGAGGGAGCCUUAAAAACGGCUACCACAUCCAAGGAAGGCAGCAGG